AGUGAACGCUGGCGGUAGGCCUAACACAUGCAAGUCGAACGGCAGCACAGUAAGAGCUUGCUCUUACGGGUGGCGAGUGGCGGACGGGUGAGGAAUACAUCGGAAUCUACUUUUUCGUGGGGGAUAACGUAGGGAAACUUACGCUAAUACCGCAAACGACCUACGGGUGAAAGCAGGGGAUCUUCGGACCUUGCGCGAUUGCAUGAGCCGAUGUCGGAUUAGCUAGUUGGCGGGGUAAAGGCCCACCAAGGCAACGAUCCGUAGCUGGUCUGAGAGGAUGAUCGGCCAAUCUGGAACUGGGACACGGUCCAGACUCCAACGGGAGGCAGCAGUGGGGAAUAUUGGACAAUGGGGGCAAGCCGGAUCCAGCCAUCCCGCGUGGGUGAAGAAGGCCUUCGGGUUGUAAAGCCCUUUUGUUGGGAAAGAAAAGCAGCAGGUUAAUACCCCGCUGUUCUGACGGUAACCAAAGAAUAAGCACCGGCUAACUACGUG
RNAcentral lists this ribosomal RNA (492 nucleotides) under uncultured bacterium. RNAcentral describes it as "partial 16S ribosomal RNA". It matches the Rfam family "Bacterial small subunit ribosomal RNA", at positions 29 to 507 of the family's 1533-position model. The record is from RNAcentral.